UGGGGAAUUUUGGACAAUGGGCGAAAGCCUGAUCCAGCAAUGCCGCGUGUGCGAAGAAGGCCUUCGGGUUGUAAAGCACUUUUGUUCGGGAAGAAAACGUCUGUGUUAAUACCACGGGCGGAUGACGGUACCGGAAGAAUAAGCACCGGCUAACUACGUGCCAGCAGCCGCGGUAAUACGUAGGGUGCGAGCGUUAAUCGGAAUUACUGGGCGUAAAGCGUGCGCAGGCGGCUAUGUAAGACAGGUGUGAAAUCCCCGAGCUUAACUUGGGAAUUGCAUUUGUGACUGCAUGGCUAGAGUGUGUCAGAGGGAGGUGGAAUUCCACGUGUAGCAGUGAAAUGCGUAGAUAUGUGGAGGAACACCAAUGGCGAAGGCAGCCUCCUGGGAUAACACUGACGCU
RNAcentral lists this ribosomal RNA (400 nucleotides) under uncultured bacterium. RNAcentral's name for it is "bacterial SSU rRNA". It matches the Rfam family "Bacterial small subunit ribosomal RNA", at positions 355 to 747 of the family's 1533-position model. The record is from RNAcentral.